This is a small nuclear RNA of Cervus hanglu yarkandensis (Yarkand deer), 107 nucleotides long. The record is from Ensembl. Lineage: Eukaryota; Metazoa; Chordata; Mammalia; Artiodactyla; Cervidae.
GUGCUCACUUUAGCAGCACAUAUACUAAAACUGGAAUGAUUACAGAGGAGAUUAACAUGGCCCCGUGCAGGUAUGACAGACAAAUCUGUGAAGCGCUCUGUACUGUU